UCUUUGCACGGAUCCGUUGGCUAGGGAGUUUCGGGGUUUUCGCGAUGCGAAAAAGCGAUUUUCGCGGUCCGAAAAACCCAACAGACUUGUCUCCCUUGAGAUGGGGAAGAUACUUCCUAAAGGGAUCGGGGAAGUUCAAGUAAGGCAUAUUCUGUUACUAUACUAUUUUCCUCAUGUGUCGCAGAGUUCUAACAUAGUUGCCACAUGGAUUUAUAGUAUCAUCAUCAGCUCUAACUGCAUCAUUGUAUGCUAACAAGCAUGUUGUACUCCUUGCCGAGAACUAGUUGACAAUUGCCACUCUUUUGAAUACUCAUUAUACUGAUCUCUCAUAUGUUAGGGAAACUAAGCAUUGGCCUCCGAGCUUAAUCAAUUCCUUGUAGCAUUUCAUCACACUUUCCUAACAAGCUCUAAUAUCUUGCUUGGUUGAUAAAUGGUGAUGCAUUAAGUCUUUUUCAAUGCAGAUGUUAAUGGGUCAGAAACAAAUUUUGUGUAUCACUUCUAAAGGGCAUCAUAUCACAGACAUUGAUAAGAGAAGAGGAGGAAGAAGCACUACUUGAUCAAAAUAUGGAGGAUUAAGAUGUAGAAUAUAGAAAAAUAAAAGUCCAUGGCUGCAUAUAUCAAGAGAGAGGUUUGUUCUACCUUGGUGCAACUUAUAGAAGUUCGACCAUCAUUCCUAGAGUGCCUUUUCAGAUAUUUUGAAGGUGAAUGGAGGUAUUAAAAAACUCGAGCCAAAUAACUCGGGUAUGGAUGAUUACAGGAGCAACAACUACAUGCUAUGUGGCACUGCAUCCGAACCUCAUGGGUGUGACUGGGAAGUACUUCGACGAAGAACUAUCAAGAAGACUUUGAGAUUUAAGUGAAAAGAUGGUUAAAGUCAAUGAGUAAAGAACAUUCAAGUCAAGAGGAUAAGUAGCAUCUAUAAAGAUCCUUUAAGUUCAUGCAAUAAGAUGUAGAUGAUAGAAGUAGUUUUCAGUGUCUCCUAAUUAAAAUUUCUUUGUAUGCAAGUAAUUAUGCUUGUUAUAAAGUGUAUGGAUGAUAAUUUAUAUAUUUAUCUUAGUUGUUUAUUUAAUAAUA
Molecule: long non-coding RNA, 1074 nt
Organism: Zingiber officinale
Lineage: Eukaryota; Viridiplantae; Streptophyta; Magnoliopsida; Zingiberales; Zingiberaceae
Exons: 4
Source: RefSeq, a predicted model, not a curated record